ACGGAAGGCAGCAGUUGGGAAUAUUGCACAAUGGGGGAAACCCUGAUGCAGCAACGCCGCGUGAGUGAAGAAGUAUUUCGGUAUGUAAAGCUCUAUCAGCAGGGAAGAUAAUGACGGUACCUGACUAAGAAGCACCGGCUAAAUACGUGCCAGCAGCCGCGGUAAUACGUAUGGUGCAAGCGUUAUCCGGAUUUACUGGGUGUAAAGGGUGCGUAGGUGGUAUGGCAAGUCAGAUGUGAAAACUUUGGGCUCAACCCAAAGCCUGCAUUUGAAACUACCAAACUAGAGUGCAGGAGAGGAAAGUGGAAUGCCUAGUGUAGCGGUGAAAUGCGUAGAUAUUAGGAGGAACACCAGUGGCGAAGGCGGCUUUCUGGACUGUUACUGACACUGAGGCACGAAAGCGUGGGGAGCAAACAGGAUUAGAUACCCUGGUA
Molecule: ribosomal RNA, 434 nt
Filed under: uncultured Lachnospiraceae bacterium
Lineage: Bacteria; Bacillati; Bacillota; Clostridia; Lachnospirales; Lachnospiraceae
Description: partial 16S ribosomal RNA
Rfam family: Bacterial small subunit ribosomal RNA
Source: RNAcentral